RNAcentral lists this non-coding RNA (247 nucleotides) under Staphylococcus aureus. Its description in RNAcentral is "Staphylococcus sRNA 35 (srn_0335)". It matches the Rfam family "Staphylococcus sRNA 35 (srn_0335)". Rfam says of the family: Other name: Srn_0335, SAOUHSCs258. Northern blot transcript confirmed in exponentially growing and stationary cells in three cultivation media. The record is from RNAcentral. Lineage: Bacteria; Bacillati; Bacillota; Bacilli; Caryophanales; Staphylococcaceae.
AUGUAGUGAUUCUUAAGAGUGGGAUAGAAAUGAUAUUUUCAUAAAAUGUAUUUCGUUGUUCCCCAACUUGCAUUGUCUGUAGAAUUUCUUUUUGAAAUUCUCUAUGUUGGGGCCCCGCCAACUUGCAUUGUCUGUAGAAUUUCUUUUUGAAAUUCUCUAUGUUGGGGCCCCGCCAACUUGCAUUGUCUGUAGAAUUUCUUUUUGAAAUUCUCUAUGUUGGGGUCCCGUUCCCCAACUUGCACAUUAU